RNAcentral lists this ribosomal RNA (253 nucleotides) under uncultured bacterium. RNAcentral's name for it is "partial 16S ribosomal RNA". It matches the Rfam family "Bacterial small subunit ribosomal RNA", at positions 524 to 776 of the family's 1533-position model. The record is from RNAcentral.
UACGUAGGGGGCAAGCGUUGUCCGGAAUUAUUGGGCGUAAAGAGCGUGUAGGCGGCCAGAUAAGUCCGCUGUGAAAUCUCGAGGCUCAACUUCGAGCUGUCGGUGGAAACUAUCUGGCUAGAGUCCGGAAGAGGAGAAUGGAAUUCCUGGUGUAGCGGUGAAAUGCGCAGAUAUCAGGAGGAACACCAAUUGCGAAGGCAGCUCGCUGGGACGUAACUGACGCUGAGACGCGAAAGCGUGGGGAGCAAACAGG